CCUACGGGAGGCAGCAGUGAGGAAUAUUGGUCAAUGGACGAGAGUCUGAACCAGCCAAGUAGCGUGAAGGAUGACUGCCCUAUGGGUUGUAAACUUCUUUUAUAUGGGAAUAAAAUGUUCCACGUGUGGGAUUUUGUAUGUACCAUAUGAACAAGGAUCGGCUAACUCCGUGCCAGCAGCCGCGGUAAUACGGAGGAUCCGAGCGUUAUCCGGAUUUAUUGGGUUUAAAGGGAGCGUAGGUGGAUUGUUAAGUCAGUUGUGAAAGUUUGCGGCUCAACCGUAAAAUUGCAGUUGAAACUGGCAGUCUUGAGUACAGUAGAGGUGGGCGGAAUUCGUGGUGUAGCGGUGAAAUGCUUAGAUAUCACGAAGAACUCCGAUGGCGAAGGCAGUUCACUGGACUGCAACUGACACUGAGGCUCGAAAGUGUGGGUAUCAAACAGGAUUAGAUACCCGGGUAGUC
RNAcentral lists this ribosomal RNA (460 nucleotides) under uncultured bacterium. RNAcentral describes it as "partial 16S ribosomal RNA". It matches the Rfam family "Bacterial small subunit ribosomal RNA", at positions 338 to 795 of the family's 1533-position model. The record is from RNAcentral.